GGCCCAUAUUUAACCUGACGAGUCCUUCACGCCCCUGUCUGCACACUUCCAGGCAUCGCCAGUGAAAUGUGAUAUUCUGUUUGAGUGCAGCUAACAAGGAAGCCUGGGAUUUACUAGAACUCCUAGCAGUCAAUGUUUGACCACUCUGCUUUAGAUAUGCCUUUUCCUUAAGCAACAGUUGUAUGUGUUUGAUAUUACAAAUGGCUCGAUUGUGGAUGACAUUGUGGAAUAGUAGUGUGUAAAAGUAGAUUAGAAUGUCAUUAUUGGUUACAUUCUUAUUACUGACUGUUUUUGAACACAUAUUUUGUUAUACUUUGAUUGAUAUGUGUGCCUUUUUAGGUUAGUCAAUUUAUAUAGUCAUUCAUAUUCAGAUUAUAUUCAGGGUUGUCUUAACACUUAACUGUGUGGUGUACUGUUGAGGAGGCUCUAUCAUGACCUUAGACGUUUUAUGAUCAUGAUCAGUUUUUUGUCAAACUGCUGAAGAAUCUAGCAUAAGGUUUUGGUCAAAAUAUUUAAGACAUUUGUAUUUUUUCAGUGUUCUGAAGAUUUGGACUGUUAGGCUUCCUUAAACUUUUUCUUCUUAUCUUCAUGGAAUUGAGUUCUAUUGUCUUUACGCCGCCACCCACUCUGCCUGACUUCAAGAUUAGGGUUUCAUGGAGGUGUGACUAUAUGCUCCUACCAAAAGCUUAAUUUGCCGUAACUGCCGGUGUUCACCACAUUCAGACGUGUGUAUCACAUAUCGCAGAUAGCUGUUCAGUGUCCAUAUCAGGAUCAGUGACACUUCCUCAUGUGCCUGACAUGCACAAACACAGGGCUUAAUUUUCUGUAUAAUCGUUGCCUACCGCCCACUGUUCCUGAAUGUAUUUGAGUCAGUACUAGUCAGUUAUAUGUAUUGUAACAGUUGUGUUUAAAGUUCAGGAAUAUGUCUGUCUUUUUCUUCACAAUUGAUUUUUGAAUAAAACAGGAAAGUUUAAUCAUUCACUACAUUUAUCAGUGUGUCUAUGAACAUAAAAGUCACGUGAUCAAAACCAGCUUAUUAUCUUGUUCGUCUCUCUGAUUGGGGUCUGCAAAUUAAUGCUUUUUUUUGUACUUAGCUCCAGGGGUAGCACCAGACAUUUUUGGUUGGAGGUGCUUUGGGGCUGCUAAGAUCUUAACAUGUUCAUUUAGAGCCUUUGAUGGCUGUUAGAACACUCCCACUCCCUACCUUGUUUGUUUUGUUGUUUUAAAAUUUGAGGUUUAAAUGUGGAUAGUUAGCCCCUGUAGUGAUUUGUAAAACCUUAUAUAGAGUUAUUGUGUUUUAAACUAGUUGUUGUUACAGGCACUUCAAAUUUCUUGUGGCUCACCACAUUCUGUGGUCUGACUUGUGUUGAAGUGUGAAUCACAGCAUGAGAAGAAAACUUGUCUAAUGAGUAAUUACAAACAAUUCCAAUUAGUGAAAGUAAUUUAUUUAUAAACAUGACAUGUAAGUGAAUUCCAUAACUGAUACAUUGAAUACAGUAUUAUAUAUUGCUUACAACUGUGAUUGAUUAUUUUUAAUAUUAGUUCAUAAUUAUUAAAAGAAAAAGUCUGGUAUUUUGGUUAUCUCACACACAGAAUGUGAAAUGUUGUGGUAUCACUCAAUGAUGUUUACUCAAACUGUGGUAUAGUGACAGGUGUAUUAAGUGUCUUGUCCAGUAGGAGUCCUCCUAAUCCUCUGGUCAAUGAGAUCUCAGGGUUAUGGGAAAUUUCAGAGAGCACAAGAGACCAAGAAUCUCUGGAAAAUCUGGAGCUAUUACGGUUCUUUUGUGGGAGAACCAAUCAAAAUAGGUUGCCUUAUCCCUUAUCAAUAUAUAAUGGUUGACUGAAAAUCACAGAUCUUAACAUUUGCUAAUGGAGCUCAAGGCAGAGCAGAGGCACAGGUUGAGUAAAAGAUGAAGGACCGGUUCUAAAGUAUGAGUGGUAUGGGGACAUGAGAGAGCCACACAACAGCAAACAACAGAGAGAAGAGAGCGUUCACAUUUGUUUCUUUACAUUUUAGACAAAUUUUAGAAGGACUUUAAAAAAAAAAAAAAAACGAAAGAAGUAAAGGGAGGGUCCUAACAGUGAUCAUCAUGGGGAAUAAUGGAAGCCGAGUGAACUCCACAGCAGUUGGAGUUGCAGUGGGCUUUGGGAUCCUCUUCAUCCUUUUUACCAUUGGGAUUGUCCAAUUCUGCUGCAAAUACAAAUGCAAAAACUGUAAGAACUGCUGCAAGAAAAAGAAACCACCACUAAAAGACAGAGUGCUCACCAAAAUGGGAGUAAAGAAGUCUCCGUCCCCUUUCUCAAUCAGUAGCUAUAUCAAACAAUAGAAGCAACUGGCUGUGGUGAACAUGAUAUAGAAACUGAAAAGACUGGUCUGUCACCUUCCCACUUAACACAUUUCUUGUUUUGCACAACUUUGUUUCUUUUCAUUGCUGCUGUUUAUUGUAAAUGACAAAAUUAGAUUGUAAUUCUCUUUUUGGAUACAAUUUUCAUGAAAGCAUGGCCCCAAAAUAGAUGGCAAUUUGUAAAUAUUGUAACAAAUAUUGUAACAUUAUUGGAUGUUGGAUAUAUGUAUUUGAACACAAAAAUUUUAUAAAUAUACUACGAUGAUAUAUUAUGUAUCAUGUAUAUUUUUGUUGACUUCCUAUCAUAAAAUAUAGGUAUACACAUCAAACAGGAAACAGCAGUUGCAGAAACAAAAUUAGUGACAUUUUUACAAUUUCCCUUAGUUACAGUAGAUACUGUAUGGUGUUAAGAACAAAAGCAGUAUUACUAGCAGCAAUAGUUGUGUAACCAAUAUGACUAUUAAAGUAUAAGGUGUAUGUUGUGCUUUAAUCAUGCUUAAAUAAUAUAAUUUUGCAUCUGUAAAGUGGAAUCCCCCACAUCAUGGUAUCUACUAAGUUUAGCUUCAUUAUAUCACUUUCCUUUUUAACGGACUGUUCUCAAAACUCCUGCACUAAUGUUAUGAAAAUUGUAAUCAGUGUUGCAUAAAUUCUGACAUAAGAAGUCAGUUAUUUUUAUUAAGAGAUGUUUUUUUUAUGAGGAAGUUGUGCAGUGGAAG
Long non-coding RNA from Boleophthalmus pectinirostris (great blue-spotted mudskipper), 3061 nucleotides. RefSeq lists it as uncharacterized. Lineage: Eukaryota; Metazoa; Chordata; Actinopteri; Gobiiformes; Gobiidae. The record is from RefSeq and is a predicted model, not a curated record. The transcript is spliced from 4 exons.